UCUGACACAGGUGCUGCAUGGCUGUCGUCAGCUCGUGUCGUGAGAUGUUGGGUUAAGUCCGUAACGAGCGCAACCCUUGUCCUUAGUUUACCAGCACGUUAUGGUGGGCACUCUAAGGAGACUGCCGGUGACAAACCGGAGGGAAGGUGGGGAGUGACGUCAAGUCAUCAUGGCCCUUACGGCCUGGGCUACACACGUGCUACAAUGGUCGGUACAAAGGGUUGCCAAGCCGCGAGGUGGAGCUAAUCCCAUAAAACCGAUCGUAGUCCGGAUCGCAGUCUGCAACUCGACUGCGUGAAGUCGGAAUCGCUAGUAAUCGUGAAUCAGAAUGUCACGGUGAAUACGUUCCCGGGCCUU
Molecule: ribosomal RNA, 357 nt
Filed under: uncultured Pseudomonas sp.
Lineage: Bacteria; Pseudomonadati; Pseudomonadota; Gammaproteobacteria; Pseudomonadales; Pseudomonadaceae
Description: bacterial SSU rRNA
Rfam family: Bacterial small subunit ribosomal RNA
Source: RNAcentral